RNAcentral lists this long non-coding RNA (695 nucleotides) under Numida meleagris (helmeted guineafowl). Its description in RNAcentral is "lncRNA (ENSNMEG00000001195.1)". Lineage: Eukaryota; Metazoa; Chordata; Aves; Galliformes; Numididae. The record is from RNAcentral.
AACUAGUGCGUGCUUUGUUGUGGAAGUUACCUCUGCCUCAAUGGUUUGUGUUCUUAGAACAAUGAAAGCAGACACUUGAGGUGGCUCUGGGCUGGGCUCUGUCUUUGGGCUUACCUGCUGGUGCUCAUACCUGUGUGGGAGUCCUGCGCAUGGCAGUGAUGGGACAGAUGAGCUUUAUUCUCUACUUCAGAGGCAUGUGUCCCUCCCCAACCCUUUUCUAAUGGGAAGGUGGAUUAUUUUGACCUUCAGCAACUCAGAGGUUUCCUGUCUCAUCUCAAGAAGACUCUGAAAGAUUUCUGCAGGAGUGACACCACAAGUGCCAGUCCCGGAGCACAGCGGGACUUGUCCUCCCAGACCCAAGGCAAGGACGUAUACCUGGGGGGCAUCACUGCAUGAUGCUCCCCUGGGCAGGAUGAAACCCCACAAAGGGCAGCCCUGAGCCCCCCGGGGUCACAGCUGGUCCCCAGUCACUUUCCAGGGAGCUCAGCUACCCAAGAAAGAGGAAUUUGAUGUGGUCUCCAUCCACCUACAUCACUUGGUGAGCACAGCUAAGUGGCUCGCACAGAAGGUCAGCUGUUUCACCAGGGCAGGGGAAUUCUUGCGUCUGCAGAUUCAGUAUCUAGCUGAUGGGUUAUGUUUAGUCUAUGGCUGUAAAGUAGCCUUGUUUCUAUUCUGAGAAUAUUUGUCUAAUCAGG